RNAcentral lists this ribosomal RNA (253 nucleotides) under uncultured bacterium. RNAcentral describes it as "partial 16S ribosomal RNA". It matches the Rfam family "Bacterial small subunit ribosomal RNA", at positions 524 to 776 of the family's 1533-position model. The record is from RNAcentral.
UACGUAGGGGGCUAGCGUUGUUCGGAAUUACUGGGCGUAAAGCGCACGUAGGCGGCUUUGUAAGUUAGAGGUGAAAGCCCGGGGCUCAACCCCGGAAUUGCCUUUAAGACUGCAUCGCUAGAAUUGUGGAGAGGUGAGUGGAAUUCCGAGUGUAGAGGUGAAAUUCGUAGAUAUUCGGAAGAACACCAGUGGCGAAGGCGACUCACUGGACACAUAUUGACGCUGAGGUGCGAAAGCGUGGGGAGCAAACAGG